GGAAGACAGCAGAUGCCCUGGCUGAAAUUCUAAGAAUUCACGAUGAACAGGAAAUCCAUGAUAUCCACACCAAGCGCACUACCGUUCUCCACGCCCUUCCUGUCUAUCUGCGUGAGGAUGUCUCUGGAUUUUUCAGAACCUGCACUGACGAAUCUGAUGAGUUGGAGCUUGAUGGUGUUGAAGUGGCCCUCUUCACUGUCAUCAGUGACCAUGACACGACAAGUCCAGUUCACUACCAACCUGUGAAAACCUCUGUCGUCAUUGAAAGUGAUGCCAUGGUCAGUCUCCCCAGAUUUGGUGAAGCCUUCCUGGUAAUGUUUGGACUGAUCUAUGCACUUCACCUCAGCUACCCCAAAGCCCUGACCAAC
Long non-coding RNA from Oreochromis aureus, 368 nucleotides. The record is from Ensembl. Lineage: Eukaryota; Metazoa; Chordata; Actinopteri; Cichliformes; Cichlidae.